GGUCGCAUAGUUCAGUGGUAGAACGUCGACGGUUCACCGCCGAAGCCGCCAGUUUGAUUCUGGCUGUGAUCA
Lophiostoma macrostomum CBS 122681 is the source of this 72-nucleotide non-coding RNA. The record is from the annotation of a GenBank genome assembly. Lineage: Eukaryota; Fungi; Ascomycota; Dothideomycetes; Pleosporales; Lophiostomataceae.